Molecule: ribosomal RNA, 400 nt
Filed under: uncultured bacterium
Lineage: Bacteria
Description: bacterial SSU rRNA
Rfam family: Bacterial small subunit ribosomal RNA
Source: RNAcentral
GAAUAUUGGACAAUGGGCGAAAGCCUGAUCCAGCAAUGCCGCGUGAGUGAUGAAGGCCUUAGGGUUGUAAAGCUCUUUUACCCGGGAUGAUAAUGACAGUACCGGGAGAAUAAGCACCGGACAACUCCGUGCCAGCAGCCGCGGUAAUACGGAGGGAGCUAGCGUUGUUCGGAAUUACUGGGCGUAAAGCGCACGUAGGCGGCGAUUCAAGUCAGGGGUGAAAUCCCGGGGCUCAACCCCGGAACUGCCCUUGAAACUAGAUUGCUAGAAUCCUGGGGAGGCGAGUGGAAUUCCGAGUGUAGAGGUGAAAUUCGUAGAUAUUCGGAAGAACACCAGUGGCGAAGGCGACUCGCUGGACAGGUAUUGACGCUGAGGUGCGAAAGCGUGGGGAGCAAACAGG